Molecule: ribosomal RNA, 466 nt
Filed under: uncultured bacterium
Lineage: Bacteria
Description: partial 16S ribosomal RNA
Rfam family: Bacterial small subunit ribosomal RNA
Source: RNAcentral
GAUGAACGCUGGCGGCGUGCUUAACACAUGCAAGUCGAACGAUGAAGCCCAGCUUGCUGGGUGGAUUAGUGGCGAACGGGUGAGUAACACGUGAGUAACCUGCCCUUGACUCUGGGAUAAGCCUGGGAAACUGGGGCUAAUACUGGAUAUGACUUCUCAUCGCAUGGUGGGGGGUGGAAAGAUUUAUUGGUCUUGGAUGGACUCGCGGCCUAUCAGCUUGUUGGUGAGGGAAUGGCUCACCAAGGCGACGACGGGUAGCCGGCCUGAGAGGGUGACCGGCCACACUGGGACUGAGACACGGCCCAGACUCCUACGGGAGGCAGCAGUGGGGAAUAUUGCACAAUGGGCGCAAGCCUGAUGCAGCGACGCCGCGUGAGGGAUGACGGCCUUCGGGUUGUAACCCUCUUUCAGUAGGGAAGAAGCGAGAGUGACGGUACCUGCAGAAGAAGCGCCGGCUAACUACGUG